CCUACGGGAGGCAGCAGUGGGGAAUAUUGCACAAUGGGGGAAACCCUGAUGCAGCGACGCCGCGUGAGUGAAGAAGUAUUUCGGUAUGUAAAGCUCUGUCAGCAGGGAAGAAAAUGACGGUACCUGACCAAGAAGCCCCGGCUAACUACGUGCCAGCAGCCGCGGUAAUACGUAGGGGGCAAGCGUUAUCCGGAUUUACUGGGUGUAAAGGGAGCGUAGACGGCAGGGCAAGUCUGGAGGGAAAGGCGGGGGCUCAACCCCCGGACUGCUCUGGAAACUGCCAGGCUGGGGGGGAGGAGAGGUAAGGGGAAAUCCUAGGGUAGCGGGGAAAAGCGGAGAUAAUAGGAGGAACAGCAGGGGCGAAGGCGGCUUACUGGACUGUAACUGACGUUGAGGCUCGAAAGCGUGGGGAGCAAACAGGAUUAGAUACCCCAGUAGUC
RNAcentral lists this ribosomal RNA (440 nucleotides) under uncultured bacterium. RNAcentral's name for it is "partial 16S ribosomal RNA". It matches the Rfam family "Bacterial small subunit ribosomal RNA", at positions 338 to 795 of the family's 1533-position model. The record is from RNAcentral.